Molecule: ribosomal RNA, 148 nt
Filed under: Escherichia coli
Lineage: Bacteria; Pseudomonadati; Pseudomonadota; Gammaproteobacteria; Enterobacterales; Enterobacteriaceae
Also listed under: 13 other names
Description: partial 16S ribosomal RNA
Rfam family: Bacterial small subunit ribosomal RNA
Source: RNAcentral
UUAAAUUGAAGAGUUUGAUCAUGGCUCAGAUUGAACGCUGGCGGCAGGCCUAACACAUGCAAGUCGAACGGUAACAGGAAGCAGCUUGCUGCUUUGCUGACGAGUGGCGGACGGGUGAGUAAUGUCUGGGAAACUGCCUGAUGGAGGG